AGAGUUGGGGUGCUCGGCCCCGGCACCCGCGUUCACAGCGUCACCUUCUUGCCUUCUGAGGCGGUCGCCCCGCGCGCCUUCUCAGGGAGCCUCUCGGAAACCAGAGCGCCGCUUCCAGCCGCUCGGGCUCCGCAAGGGCCUAGUGACGGGAGGGGGCUGCUGGGCCUCUCGAUUUACUUACCAGCAACUGUGGAAGAUGAAUGAAUUUAAAUACAAAUACCAGUGUGAACCUGCAUCCCUCUGACGAAAUCGCGACAUCCCAGUUGUAUGCUGUUGUGCCUGAAGGUUUUGGAGCCCAGAUUUGCUGGCCUGGUGGAAAUGUUUCUGGUGGAGGUAUACAGGUGCAAGCUCUGCCAGUUCACAAGUAGCAUCAAAAUGCACAAUGUAUUAAUCAUCUUUUGAAACUGAGUGGAUAAGAAGUCUUCACUAGCUUGCCGUUAUCAGGAUAUGUUUAAAUGUCUGCACGGUGAUUUUACCAGAAGCUUUACUGUAACAUUACGAAGAACUGUUGUCUGCCAAUUUGUUAUGCUUGUGAAGCUGAUAAAAUGGGUCCUGUGACAUCUAAACCCCUUAAGGUCACUGGCAUCAGCUCCAUCAUGACAUCCUAACAUGCACCAUGUUGGUGGUGAUAUAUCAACCACCGAACCAUGCUGAAACAUGGAGCUGGUGUGCACUGAAUGGAGGGUCAGGUGAGAAGCCUUUCAAGUGUGAGAUCUGCUCUUACGCCUCCGUUGAUGCAGGCUCUUUGCAGCGGCCCUUCCAAACAUGCGCUAGUGAGGUGCCAUACAAAUGUUGACUCUGUUCAUAUAGUUGCUUUGCUUGUAGUGUUUUGAUUCCAUCCUCCUGCCCCAGUUGAUUGAGGAAAUGCUCACGUCUCUGACAUAUUUCAUUUUGCCGCAUUGGCAGAGUGCGUCAUGUGAGGAGUGGGAACGUUAACUAUUCCUAGUAAAGCUGAAGUACAUGUUGAAACAUUCAAAAGAAGAGCUUGGACCUUCACAUAUGCUGACUUCACACUGGUGAGGCAUUUGGCUGUAGUUUUUACUGCUGUUCUUCCCCUGACAAACAACUUCUCUGAAAACACAUUAAGAAAUAUCACCUGGGUUCAGGAACCUCAUUAACCAGUUCCCAGCCUAUCUUUACCUUCUAAUCACUUCCUGUGGAACAUUAGGUUCUUCAUGCUUGAACUUCUACCAGAGCAUCCCAGCAAAUAAAGAAGCUGUUGGUAUUGUCAGACUUUUGUGCUGAAAGUCAGGGGUUAUCUGGAAGAAAAAGAAGAAACGGUCCUUAUGUGGCAAUUAAAACCACUUAAAUGGUCCUCCCAAAAAGCUUUGUGCGUGUUAUGGCACAGGUGGUAAAUCCAAUAUGCUGAGAGGAGCGUGAAGAUUUGUGUUGCACAAAGGGUGGACAUGGUGAUUUUUUGUUCUGAUUACCUCUUGCUGAUAUAUUCUGCUUACUUACAAAUGAAGAGUUUGAUGUUUCAAAGCAGAAUCCAUUGAAAUGUACCAAAGCUGACAGUGAACCCCAGAAGUGGUUUCUGUACUAUGUCGCUCAUUUUUAA
This 1558-nucleotide long non-coding RNA is filed under the name Columba livia (rock pigeon). RNAcentral describes it as "partial uncharacterized LOC102092418, transcript variant X1". Lineage: Eukaryota; Metazoa; Chordata; Aves; Columbiformes; Columbidae. The record is from RNAcentral.